This 262-nucleotide unclassified non-coding RNA is filed under the name Basidiomycota sp. Its description in RNAcentral is "partial contains small subunit ribosomal RNA, internal transcribed spacer 1, and 5.8S ribosomal RNA". The stretch from base 1 to 47 matches the Rfam family "Eukaryotic small subunit ribosomal RNA", at positions 1785 to 1831 of the family's 1831-position model. The record is from RNAcentral. Lineage: Eukaryota; Fungi; Basidiomycota.
AAAGUCGUAACAAGGUUUCCGUAGGUGAACCUGCGGAAGGAUCAUUAUUGAUUCCAGAGGGAUGUGCUGGCUCUCUUGUGGAGCAAUCGUGCACUCUCUCAAAUCUAACUCUAUUCACCUGUGCACACUUGGUAGGCAAGUAGGAUGGAAACUAUGUUUCCAUCUAUCAUUGCUUAUCGUCUUUUACACACCCUUUUAAAUGCCAUGAAUGUAAUUGAAAUAAUAAAUAUAACAACUUUCAACAAUGGAUCUCUUGGUUCUC